AGGGAAAAAAACAAAGUUACUUUCCAAACUUUGUAAUUAUAUAUUGAAUUUUAAAUGAUAUGAGGUAAAGGUUUCAAUAAGAAAUAAAACCAUUUUUUAAAUCAUUUUAAGUGGCAAUGUUCCUCAGAAUGAAGUCUAACUGUAAAUGGAGUUCUUAUCAGAGACGGUUUGGCUAAGAGUACUUUCUGUACGUGGACUUCUUGUAAGGGGCAGAUAAGAUUUGACUCAUGGUGCCUUAAGGCAGUUUUUCCUUCAAUUCGCUACAGUGCGGCUGGAAACCGCGUUAGGAGCGCGGACAGAGAAACGGUUACUCGGCCGGACUUCGAGUUUAAAAUAAACGAGGAACAGCGAAAACACCGAAGCUAACCGUCUCCUCUCGAUUCUUUUUAUAUACAGUAAACGGCGAUCCCAUGGUUGUAUGGAGUGGAACCCAUCUCCCAAGGAGUCCAACAAAGUCCACAAGGGCCACUGUGCAGCAGGCUUUAUGACUCUGUUUAAAUCUUCGGCUGCUCAAGAACAAGGAAAGACUUCAACUUGUCCAUUUAAGACAUUAACGAGUUCGAUUGGUUAGUUAUUGGCUUUAGUGGAUGGAAAAGCUGAAACCUUCUGGCCUCCAGGUCUGGAGCUGUGCACCCUGCGUUGUGGGAUGCAGCAGUAACAGAGGUCUGUCAGACAAUGGGUGCUGCUGUUCAUUGAUUGUCUGAGCACAGGGCACCCAAGAACAGUCAAAUGAACAUAAGAUUACAAAACAGAGCAGGACUGUUGGCCCAUUUCAUAAUUAGUAGCUAAAUGAAGGAUCCGAUCCAGUGAUUUCCUGAAAAAAGCCAGGGUAUUGACAACUGCAGCAUGGCUGGGAAGCUUAAUCCAUGCACAUAUUCCCAUUUUUGGACUGAAAAAGGAAAGGUGAGGCUCAUAUACACUUUGUGUAUAAAAUGCCAUCUACAACACACUUUCUAAUGAAAAAAGUUUAACAAUGAACUUUUACUUCAGCAUCUUAUUUAUAUAAUAAAAUAUUCAUCAUCUGUC
Molecule: long non-coding RNA, 1026 nt
Organism: Lepisosteus oculatus (spotted gar)
Lineage: Eukaryota; Metazoa; Chordata; Actinopteri; Semionotiformes; Lepisosteidae
Source: RefSeq, a predicted model, not a curated record